CUCAACAUCGGGUUGCUCCAGUACCAGUAGCUCAAUGGUCCAUUCUGCGUCCCGCUCCUCUGCCAUCAACCCCUGGCAACAGGGGUCUCU
This is a non-coding RNA of Pangasianodon gigas (Mekong giant catfish), 90 nucleotides long. The record is from the annotation of a GenBank genome assembly. Lineage: Eukaryota; Metazoa; Chordata; Actinopteri; Siluriformes; Pangasiidae.